CACAAGUAAAGUGAUCGAAAGAUGAAAAACACUUUGAAAAGAGAGUCAAACAGUACGUGAAAUUGUUGAAAGGGAAGCGCUUGCAACCAGACUCGCUCGCGGGUGUUCAACCGUCCCCAGAGGCGGUGCAUUCUCCCGCGGCCGGGCCAGCAUCGGUUUAGGCGGUCGGACAAAGGCCCCGGGAAUGUAGCUCCUUUCGGGGAGUGUUAAGCCCGGGGUGCAAUGCGGCCAGCCCGGACCGAGGACCGCGCAUUCGCUAGGAUGCUGGCGUAAUGGUUGCCAGCGACCCGUCUUGAAACACGGACCAAGGAGUCGACCAACCGUGCGAGUGUUUGGGUGUCAAACCCCGACGCGCAAUGAAAGUAAACGUAGGUGGGAGCCCUCGGGUGCACCAUCGACCGAUCCUGAUAUCUUUGGAUGGAUUUGAGUAAGAGCCCGGUUGGUCGGACCCGAAAGAUGGUGAACUAUGCGUGAAUAGGGUGAAGCCAGAGGAAACUCUGGUGGAGGCUCGCAGCGGUUCUGACGUGCAAAUCGAUCGUCAAAUUUGCGCAUAGGGGCGAAAGACCAAUCGAACUAUCUAGUAGCUGGUUCCCGUCGAAGUUUCCCUCAGGAUAGCAGCAACGGAGACAGUCUCAUAAGGUAGAGCAAACGAUUAGAGGUCUUGGGGUUAUUAUUGACCUUAACCUAUUCUCGAACUUCGAAUAUGUGAGAAGUCCUUGUUACUUAGUGAA
This 731-nucleotide ribosomal RNA is filed under the name Ocellularia umbilicata. RNAcentral's name for it is "eukaryotic LSU rRNA". It matches the Rfam family "Eukaryotic large subunit ribosomal RNA", at positions 343 to 1098 of the family's 3401-position model. The record is from RNAcentral. Lineage: Eukaryota; Fungi; Ascomycota; Lecanoromycetes; Ostropales; Graphidaceae.